UGGGGAAUCUUGCCCAAUGGGCGAAAGCCUGAGGCAGCGACGCCGCGUGCGGGAAGAAGGCCUUCGGGUUGUAAACCGCUUUCAGGGGGGACGAAGCCACUCGGGUUAAUAGCCCAGAGGGUGACGGUACUCCCAGAAGAAGCCCCGGCUAACUACGUGCCAGCAGCCGCGGUAAUACGUAGGGGGCUAGCGUUGUCCGGAUUUAUUGGGCGUAAAGAGCGUGUAGGCGGCCGGAUAGGUCCGUUGUGAAAACUCGAGGCUUAACCUCGAGACGCCGACGGAAACCAUCUGGCUAGAGUCCGGAAGAGGAGAGUGGAAUUCCUGGUGUAGCGGUGAAAUGCGCAGAUAUCAGGAAGAACACCUAUGGCGAAGGCAGCUCUCUGGGACGGUACUGACGCUGAGACGCGAAAGCGUGGGGAGCGAACAGG
This 428-nucleotide ribosomal RNA is filed under the name uncultured bacterium. Its description in RNAcentral is "bacterial SSU rRNA". It matches the Rfam family "Bacterial small subunit ribosomal RNA", at positions 355 to 776 of the family's 1533-position model. The record is from RNAcentral.